Molecule: ribosomal RNA, 319 nt
Filed under: Triticum aestivum (bread wheat)
Lineage: Eukaryota; Viridiplantae; Streptophyta; Magnoliopsida; Poales; Poaceae
Description: partial small subunit ribosomal RNA
Source: RNAcentral
GGAGUAUUACAAACUAUUUCAAAUUCAAGUGAAUGCAGCCGCUAGAUAGAGAUGUGGCGCCUGAAUGCAAAGUUUCGGAGGUAGUAUUACAAAUUAUUUCAAAUUCAAGUGAAUGCAGCCACUAGAUAGAGACGUGGCGCCUGAAUGCCUGAUGUCCAUAUAAAGAUUACAGCAAACCUUAUACAGGACACAUUUGUCCCAAUUUCCCAACCGAAAAUACAUCAGAGGGAGGGAUGAUCAAUAGUUCUGUACUCGAGAGCGAACUAGCCCUACAAGCUACGCGUACUCUACAUCUCCAGUUCUGACAAGACAAGAAUAC